RNAcentral lists this ribosomal RNA (914 nucleotides) under uncultured marine archaeon. RNAcentral describes it as "bacterial SSU rRNA". It matches the Rfam family "Archaeal small subunit ribosomal RNA", at positions 1 to 922 of the family's 1478-position model. The record is from RNAcentral.
UUCCGGUUGAUCCCGCCGGACCUGACUGCUAUCGGAUUGAUACUAAGCCAUGCGAGUCUUUGUAGUAAUACAAGGCAGACGGCUCAGUAACACGUAGUCAACCUACCCUAUGGACGGGAAUAAUCUCGGGAAACUGAGGAUAAUACCCGACAUAUCAUCAUGCCUGGAAUGGUUGGUGAUUAAAAUGAUUCGUCGCCGUAGGAUGGGACUGCGACCUAUCAGCUUGUUGGUGGGGUAAAGGCCCACCAAGGCGAUUACAGGUACGGGCUCUGAGAGGAGAAGCCUGGAGAUGGGUACUGAGACACGGACCCAGGCCCUAUGGGGCGCAGCAGGCGAGAAAACUUUGCAAUGUGCGAAAGCACGACAAGGUUAAUCCGAGUGAUUUCUGCUAAAGGAAUCUUUUGCCAGUUCUAAAAAUACUAGUGAAUAAGGGGUGGGCAAGUUCUGGUGUCAGCCGCCGCGGUAAAACCAGCACCUCAAGUGGUCAGGAGGAUUAUUGGGCCUAAAGCAUCCGUAGCCUGCUCUGUAAGUUUUCGGUUAAAUCUAUAUGCUCAACGUAUAGGCUGCCGAAAAUACUGCAGUGCUAGGAAGUGGGAGAGGUAGACGGUACUUGGUAGGAAGGGGUAAAAUCCUUUGAUCUAUCGAUGACCACCUGUGGCGAAGGCGGUCUACCAGAACACGUUCGACGGUGAGGGAUGAAAGCUGGGGGAGCAAACCGGAUUAGAUACCCGGGUAGUCCCAGCUGUAAACGAUGCAGACUCGAUGAUGCAUUGGCAUAUAGCCGGUGCAGUGUCGCAGGGAAGCCGUUAAGUCUGCCGCCUGGGAAGUACGUACGCAAGUAUGAAACUUAAAGGAAUUGGCGGGGGAGCACCACAAGGGGUGAAGCCUGCGGUUCAAUUGGAUUCAACGCCGGG